Non-coding RNA from Picea glauca (white spruce), 121 nucleotides. The record is from Rfam. Lineage: Eukaryota; Viridiplantae; Streptophyta; Pinopsida; Pinales; Pinaceae.
GUAUUCAUACAAUAUAGCGUUAAUGCGUCAGAUCCCAAUAGAACUCCAUCGUUAAGUUCUCUUGAUAUAGAGUAGUACUGGGAUAGGUGAUCUCCCUGGAGGUCCUUGUAUUUUAUAUGCC